Molecule: long non-coding RNA, 500 nt
Organism: Scophthalmus maximus (turbot)
Lineage: Eukaryota; Metazoa; Chordata; Actinopteri; Pleuronectiformes; Scophthalmidae
Exons: 3
Source: RefSeq, a predicted model, not a curated record
GACUGUAUACAAAGACGAUCUAUAUAAAGAUGGACCCCCCUCCCACCUGAUCCUGCUCUGGUUCAGCGUCUCCGUGGUAACGUGAUGGUCGUCCACUUCCCUGACCAGCUUUAGGUUCCUCUGAUUGGCCAGAUCCAGGGCGAUGACCCGCUCGGGGCUGGUGCAUCCUGAGCCGUCGUCCAGUCGACUGAGGACUCGCUGACCCACGGUGGCCGUCAGCAGGGAGGGCGAGGUGGAGCGAACUGAGCACUCCUCCAACAGAGACAGAGACUGAGACAUGAAGACCAGGACCCAGAGUCAGAGGUCAGCGGCUCGUAUGGGGGUGGAGCAGGAGAUGGGGGCGGAGCCACAGAGAACCUUCUGGAAGUCCCUGAUACUGACUCUGCCGUCCAGGCCGGCGUCCAACUUCCUGAGCAGCGAGUCCAGCUCCUGCAGGUCAAAGGUCAGUGGUCAAACGCAAAUGCAACAACAACAACAUCUGACCCUGAUGAUGGGUGGAG